GGAUGUGAGGGCGAUCUGGCUGCGACAUCUGUCACCCCAUUGAUCGCCAGGGUUGAUUCGGCUGAUCUGGCUGGCUAGGCGGGUGUCCCCUUCCUCCCUCACCGCUCCAUGUGCGUCCCUCCCGAAGCUGCGCGCUCGGUCGAAGAGGACGACCAUCCCCGAUAGAGGAGGACCGUUCUUCGGUCAAGGGUAUACGAGUAGCUGCGCUCCCCUGCUAGAACCUCCAAACAAGCUCUCAAAGAAUAAGGAAGAUCUGUGUGUAGGGACAAGGUCUCUAAAAACAGGAAAAGUACAAAAAAAAAAAAGCCAGAAAAAUAUGUAUAUUU
RNAcentral lists this small nuclear RNA (326 nucleotides) under Canis lupus familiaris (dog). RNAcentral describes it as "7SK RNA". It matches the Rfam family "7SK RNA". From Rfam's summary of the family: 7SK was discovered as an abundant small nuclear RNA in the mid-70s but a possible function has only recently been suggested. Two independent studies have found that 7SK RNA binds the CDK9/cyclin T complex (known as elongation factor P-TEFb). The record is from Rfam by way of RNAcentral. Lineage: Eukaryota; Metazoa; Chordata; Mammalia; Carnivora; Canidae.